Odocoileus virginianus texanus is the source of this 1321-nucleotide long non-coding RNA. RefSeq lists it as uncharacterized. The record is from RefSeq and is a predicted model, not a curated record. Lineage: Eukaryota; Metazoa; Chordata; Mammalia; Artiodactyla; Cervidae.
UUUCAUUUCUGUAUGGUAUCAGCCAGGCUUCAAGUAGGAAGAGAGUUUCUCAUCACAUAGUAUUUUUUUCUCACUUCUUUGUAAGCAGGGAAUUUCAUAGAAUCCUAAGGUCUUAUGGUGGCGGGAGAUUUUAUGGGUCAUUUAGAUCAACUGCCUUUGAAUCUCCUCUGCAGUGUGUCCUCCAAAGUCAUCUAUUGCCUGCUUGAAUACUUUGUGUGAUGGGGAAGUCACCACCUCACUUCUACCAUAUACACCCAGGGGGAAACCAGGAUGGCUGCCUACCCAACUAAAUGUGGUCCCUCUAACCCACCGGCAAGUCACUGGGUUAUACAGGAAAUGCAAACCGAAACUGCACUGAGAUUCCACCUCACACCUGUUAGGAUGGCUACUAUGAAAUAAAUAAAUACAGAAAUACAGAGAUAUCAAGUUUAGGCCAGGAUGUGGAAAAGCUGCAACCCUUGUGCACUUUGUUGGUAUAUACCCCAAAGAAGUGAAAGCAAGAUUUAAAGAGAUAUUUGUACACCCAUGUUCAUAGAAACAUUAAUCCUAAUGGCCAAAGAGUGGAAGCAUCCCAAGUGUCUUUUGAGAGAGACACCCUCUUGUACUUCGUUCUUGGGGAAGCCAGGUUCCACACCCCAUGGAUUUGCACUGCAUCCAAGUCUGGAAGUCUGAAUGAACCUGUGGGCUGGCUGCCAGAGCUGUCCUGGUUCUGGACACUGCAGGCAGAGUGGAGGCCAUGCUAACAGACGAGGAGUUAUUGGAGCUGGCAGGGGCAUCUCGAGCUCUCUUUGGGCCAGAGUUGAGUAUCUGGGAGACAAGUGAGAAACUGUGAGACCUCAAAGGGCAUUUCAACUGUGCCAGACACAGAGUCAUAUUAAAGGGAAAAAAUACUAAGUCAAUAGAGAUGGUGUCCAGGCUUGAUAUAACUACUAAUCUGAUGGAACAGCAUGUUCAAAAUGUGACCAUGUAAUGCUGGGAGAUAUGGUCAGACCAAAUUUGGUUGAAAACAAGUGCAGUUGGAAAACUCAGAACUCAUGACUUCAUAACUUUCUCUAUGAUGGGGUCCCUAUGUUGGUAAGGGUAAGUGAUGAUAGCUGCUAUAAUACACCUCAAAUAUCAAUGUUUGGAUUCUUGUACUUUCUCCAUAAGCAUCUUUGCUGCAAGCAUUUUUGCUGCAUAACUAAUUUGCUGUAAAAGAGAAAAUCACAAAAAGUAAAAGAGGGAAUUAAAAAGAAUGUAAUGAAACAUGAAACAUGAAUAACAAAAUAUAUAAGAUUUCAUUGCAAAAUAUAUAAUAUAUGAAUACCUUCAAAUGUGUAUA